GUAGGGACCAAGCGUUGUUCGGAUUUACUGGGCGUAAAGGGCGCGUAGGCGGCGUGUUAAGUCAGCUGUGAAAUCUCCGAGCUUAACUCGGAACGGUCAGCUGAUACUGAUGUGCUAGAGUGCAGAAGGGGCAAUCGGAAUUCUUGGUGUAGCGGUGAAAUGCGUAGAUAUCAAGAGGAACACCUGAGGUGAAGACGGGUUGCUGGGCUGACACUGACGCUGAGGCGSGAAAGCCAGGGGAGCAAACGGGAUUAGAUACCCCGGUAGUCCUGGCCCUAAACGAUGAAUACUKGGUGUCKGGAGUUAUUAUUGCUCCGGGUGCCGUCGCUAACGUUUUUAGUAUUCCGCCUGGGGAGUACGCACGCAAGUGUG
RNAcentral lists this ribosomal RNA (372 nucleotides) under uncultured bacterium. RNAcentral describes it as "bacterial SSU rRNA". It matches the Rfam family "Bacterial small subunit ribosomal RNA", at positions 527 to 896 of the family's 1533-position model. The record is from RNAcentral.